This 30-nucleotide non-coding RNA is filed under the name Rattus norvegicus (Norway rat). The record is from RNAcentral. Lineage: Eukaryota; Metazoa; Chordata; Mammalia; Rodentia; Muridae.
UCCGCAGGCAUAAUUCCUAUUGGGGGUCCU